This 365-nucleotide unclassified non-coding RNA is filed under the name uncultured fungus. RNAcentral's name for it is "partial contains ITS1, 5.8S rRNA and ITS2". The record is from RNAcentral. Lineage: Eukaryota; Fungi.
AACGCAAAUAGCACUGCUAGGUCCUCCUAGUAGUAUGCCUGUUUGAGUGUCAGCAAUAAAUAAUCAACACAUUAAUGGACAUUAAUGGCGUUGCACUUGGUGAAAUGUCUUGGGGGCAAUUUUUCAAUUGUCCUUGGGACAAUUCGCUCAAAUUUCAAACCUUUUAUCAUUAACCUGAGUAAUAAUUAACUUGGUAACAACUCUCUUGUUACUGCAAAUGAAAUUAAAAGUCACUUUUUAGUUGACAUUUGUACGUGGCAUUAUGAGACUACUUUAUUAUUAUUAUUAUUAUUAUCUUUGGGUCUAUUCUUUCAAAAAUCUAUAUACUUGACCUCAAAUCAGACAGGGUUACCCGCUGAAUUUAA